ACGGCGCUCGGCGUCGCGCGAACCCCGGCGUCCGCGGUGCAACAGUGACAAAAGUGCCGCUCCGGGGCCCCAGUCGCUGACAGGAGUGGGGCGUCGGCGCUGCGCCUUACGCCUCGGGAGCCGGCGAACUUUCCGCGCGACCCAGGCGCACGGUAACGAGCUGGGGUGAAGGGGGGCGCGCGCCUGGGGCUGGCGUGCUGCCGGCGGGGCGUGCGACCGGCGGCCGCGUGGCCGCAAUAAAGUCUGCUCUGACGAGAAACGCCUGUGCUUGAUUUUUGGUUUCCCGUUCGUUUUGCCUUUACUCGUUACUCGGGGUCUCGUGCGGUAGCGGCACGGACGGCGUAGCCGACCGUGUGCUGCCACGGGCUCUUUGGUCGCGUGCCGGUGGGCGGCGCGCGAAGGCGACCGCGGCAAGCGGAAGCGGCGCGCGCAGCCUAGGGUUCACCGUUGGAAGUGUGUCCGUUAUUCUUUUAUGACCCGCGGAAACCGGAGACCCAGCCGUUGGGUGCCUGUUGGAACGAAGGGUCUGGCUGCUCCUGUCGAGCGACUCCACUAUUGUAGCUUUCUGAAAACUCCCUUCUAUCUUUGAAUAACUUGACACAGGCUUCGCCUAUUCCUCGCUCAUAAACAUUCCUUUUGCCGAAAAGGACUAUUUAAAAAUAUUCCUUUUAAAUAGUCUUUGCAUUUAGCUCUUUGAAAAUUCCAUGUCUUUUGUGAUUUCCCUAUUAUAAGUAACAGCUUAGGUUUUCCUUGUUCAAAUCAUCAAAUUGCUUAAGAUACAUUGUAGUGAAGUGUUUCUUCUGUGCUUCCUUUCGAUAGACCAGGUGUGGUUUAAAGCAACAUAAAGUUAGAUUGCCUUUUUUUUUUCCAAGAACCGAAAAUUUGAGCCAAGUGUAUCUUAUUUGUUUCUUAGAUUUAACGGUCAGCUUCAUCUGUUGAAUAUUCUGGAUUACUUUUAUCUACCGGAGUUGUUAGUGUUGAGGCAGGAGAGUAUUCUAAAUGCAUUACAUGCAUCUUAGGCCAAACUUAAACAGUUGGGCAUCUUAUAAUUUUAAACAUACUUAGCAAGGUGUCCUUGUGCAGGUUUUUAAUCUUUGGAGAGGGAGGUAAGUCAGGAGUUUAAAGCCAGCCUUGGCUACGUGUAUAGUUUUCUGAAAUACCUCGUUUCUAGGUUAACUACAUAGCCCCCUCUAUCCCAAAACUUUCUUCUGCUCCUGAUUCCUAGGUUUGAAGAUACACAUUUGUGCUACAACAUCUUACCUUGAAUCCCUUAAUCUCGGCAUGAAGACAAAUGAUUAUUGACAUGCAUUUUAAAGGGCAUUUCUUGCCGGGCAGUGGUAGCACACGCGUUUAAUCCCAGCACUUGGGAGAUAGAGGCAGGUGGAUUUCUGAGUUCCAGGACAGCCUGGUCUACAGAGUGAGUUCCAGGACAGCCAGGGCUACACAGAAAAGCCCUGUCUCGAAAAACCAAACAAAAGGGAAAAAAAAAAAAAAGGCAUUUGUUUUCCUCCCACCUAUAUGAGCAGAAGCUUUGAUGUCUCUGAAAUUGCUGUCAUUUCCCAUUUUUCUGAAAUGUACUUUAAAUGCAUUUAAGGUAUGAAUGUGGGAAGGCUGGGGGGUAAGAGUGGACAAAAAAAAAUUGUCCGUUAAAGAGAACCUGAUACCUCAGGUUUAUCCAAGCUGAAUUUAUUGAGAAUUUACUUGUGUGAGUCAUGUAUACUAGAUAAGCAUAUUAUCACACAUCUACAAACAAAAGGGAUGUGUGUGUGUCUGUUAUAUAUUUCUUGCUGUCCUGGAACACGGUAUGUUGACCAGGCUGGCCUCAAACUCAGAGAUGCACCUGCCUCUGCCUCUUGAGUAAGAUUAAAGAAAGGCAUGUGCUACCAGACCCAGCCUCUUUCUUCCUUUGAGUGAAAUCAGGCCAGUUAUUAAAUGUUUGUAGACAAGCAUGGUGGCUCAUGGUUGUAAUUCUAGGGCUCAGGCAGCUGAGACAGAAGGAUCACCCAAAGUUACAGGGAAGUUUGGGCUACAUACAACUUGUCUCAAAAACAAAACAAAAAAUCUGACUGUACCAUAUUUCUACAUUUGAUAGUUUGAGAUUGGUUCAAGCUCUAUAUUCAUGCUAUUUGUGUAACAGCUAAGAAUUUGGCUCCUUUGUGAAAUCAGUCAGGAGACAGUCUUGUUAUGGAGCCUAGAUUUGUCUUGAACUCACAGCCGUCCUUUGCCUCAGUCUCUCCAGGGCUGGAAUUGCAGUGCGUGCAGCGCUACACCUGCUGAUCAUGCAUUUAGGUUAUUGUUUAGUUGCUGAAUAAUUCAUUCAAAUAAUUUGGGCUCUUCCUCAAUAUAGAAUUGAAACUAUUAGAGCUAGACAGGAAAAAGUGGAGUACUUUUUUAGUUGUAGAAGCUAGAGGUCUUUGUCUUACUUUUAGAUCUUAACAUCUGGACUACAAAAGAGAUACACCCCUGAAACCAACACAUAUAUUAUUAGGUUUAGAGUUUGUAUCUGGGUAAAAUAAUCUGACUAUACAUGAAGCAUUCCAUAUCAUGUCUGUAAACCAACACCAUUUAUUCAGUAUUUCAUUUAUUUUUUUGUACAGCCUUUGUCAAAUUCUUUCUCUUAGAUCAAAUGGCUUGUUGUGAAUGAAUCUGACUAUUGUUCAUAAAUAAAGGAAAGUUGGAAUUUUAUCAUAA
Molecule: long non-coding RNA, 2691 nt
Organism: Mus musculus (house mouse)
Lineage: Eukaryota; Metazoa; Chordata; Mammalia; Rodentia; Muridae
Product: predicted gene, 34220
Exons: 1
Source: RefSeq, marked validated